GCCGGGGUGGCGGAACAGGCAGACGCACGGGACUUAAAAUCCCGCGGACCGCGAGGUCCGUACCGGUUCGAUUCCGGUCCUCGGCACCA
RNAcentral lists this transfer RNA (89 nucleotides) under Bacillota bacterium. RNAcentral's name for it is "Firmicutes bacterium (anaerobic digester metagenome) tRNA-Leu". It matches the Rfam family "tRNA". From Rfam's summary of the family: Transfer RNA (tRNA) molecules are approximately 80 nucleotides in length. Their secondary structure includes four short double-helical elements and three loops (D, anti-codon, and T loops). The record is from RNAcentral. Lineage: Bacteria; Bacillati; Bacillota.